AUGUCGUUCAACGCUUUGGAGUUAGUGUGUUGGAAUGUUAGAGGCCUUAACAGUCCGGCCAAAAGGAAGGCGCUUAGGGGUUUGGUGGAUUCCACUCGCGCGGCGAUUGUUUGUAUCCUAGAAACUAAACUUGAGGUGGUGGACACUUUUGUAAUCUUGCAACGUAUGGGGCCGAACUAUGAUGGUUUCACCUACUUACCGGCGUCGGACACUAGAGGCGGUAUCUUUGUGGCAUGGGACAUCACACGGGUCCUCUUGUCAAAUUAUGUCAAUGACUCCCAUAGCAUUUCGGUGUACGUCUCGCCCAAGGAGGGAGAGCCAUGGUGGCUCACAGUAGUAUAUGGGCCUUAG
Molecule: ribosomal RNA, 351 nt
Filed under: Triticum aestivum (bread wheat)
Lineage: Eukaryota; Viridiplantae; Streptophyta; Magnoliopsida; Poales; Poaceae
Description: partial small subunit ribosomal RNA
Source: RNAcentral